UCAAUGGAUUGCCAGUGGGGACUUACCAGGCUUUUCCAAAUAUUCAUCCACCUCAGAUACCAGCCACUCCCCCAUCAUAUGAAUCUGUUGAUGACAUUAAUGCUGAUAAGAAUGUCUCUUCUGCACAGAUUGUUGGUCCUGGACCCAAGCCCGAAGCCUCUGCAAAAGCCCCUCCCAGACCUGCAGAAAACUACAACUUUGUACUGCCAGAGUUGCCAUCUGUG
This is a long non-coding RNA of Octodon degus (degu), 224 nucleotides long. RefSeq lists it as uncharacterized. The record is from RefSeq and is a predicted model, not a curated record. Lineage: Eukaryota; Metazoa; Chordata; Mammalia; Rodentia; Octodontidae. The transcript is spliced from 3 exons.